RNAcentral lists this long non-coding RNA (831 nucleotides) under Brachypodium distachyon (stiff brome). RNAcentral describes it as "long non-coding RNA (BDIS_LNC001104)". Lineage: Eukaryota; Viridiplantae; Streptophyta; Magnoliopsida; Poales; Poaceae. The record is from RNAcentral.
AUCAUUCAUGUGCAUAUCCUCUUCUGCCGGCUCAUAUUCCUUAUUCUGUUCCUCCAUGCUAUCCUCAGGCAACUAUAUAAGAAAUUGUAUACAUAAAUGCGUACAUGUUGUUUGCUGUCCUAUCCAUUAAAUAUACUAAUUUUGACAAAUGACAACAAUGGUGUAUGGAGAUUUCAGAAAUGAGAUACUUGCUGUCCAUGAAAAAAAUUAAUGUUGACAUGCUAAAAAUAUACAAGGUAUCCAUUUAAGUCCAUGAAACAUAUUAAUUUCUCCAUGCUAUAAAAUACACAAGCUGUCAUGAAACAUAUUAAUUUUGACAUGCUAUAAAACUACACAAACUGUCCAUGAAUCAUAUUAAUUUCUCCAUGCUAUAAAACUACACAAGCUGUCCAUGAAUCAUAUUAAUUUCUCCAUGCUAUGAAACUACACAAGCUGUCCAUGAAAAUUAACAUGAUGUUAACCUCCACUAGAACACUACUCAACAACAAAAGCAUCCAUCCAAGAAAUUACUCAUGAACAUGUGCCUGAAUUACUCAUGAACCGCAUCCAUCGGAAAAAAAAAAAUCAAUUUCUCACCUCUUCCUCUUCUUCUUCCACGGUCGUCCCUGAAGCAGCAGCACCGCGGGCGCCGGCCCUGGAGGAGAUUCUGGAACCAGAUGCCACCGCAGAACCAGAUGCCAUGGCCUGGUCAGUGGGAGACUGGCGGUGACCAUGGCGAGGAGGAGGAGGAGGAAGACCCUGACCCCUACGUCGCGUUGCCGAGCUGGUGCUGCUGCUGCAGGAGCGUCAGUGAGCACAAUCGUUGGGUUCGACUUCGAGCGAAUCUUGCCG